RNAcentral lists this ribosomal RNA (553 nucleotides) under uncultured Bacteroidota bacterium. RNAcentral's name for it is "bacterial SSU rRNA". It matches the Rfam family "Bacterial small subunit ribosomal RNA", at positions 77 to 626 of the family's 1533-position model. The record is from RNAcentral. Lineage: Bacteria; Pseudomonadati; Bacteroidota.
AGCUUGCUUUUCUGAUGACGACCGGCGCACGGGUGCGUAACGCGUAUGCAACCUACCUUAUACUGGGGAAUAGCCAGAAGAAAUUCUGAUUAAUGCCCCAUAGUAUUUAUUAACCGCAUGGUUUUAUAAAUUAAAGAUUACGGUAUAAGAUGGGCAUGCGUCCUAUUAGCUAGAUGGUAAGGUAACGGCUUACCAUGGCAACGAUAGGUAGGGGGCCUGAGAGGGUGAUCCCCCACACUGGUACUGAGACACGGACCAGACUCCUACGGGAGGCAGCAGUGAGGAAUAUUGGGCAAUGGAGGCAACUCUGACCCAGCCAUGCCGCGUGCAGGAAGAAGGUUCUAUGGAUCGUAAACUGCUUUUAUUUGUGAAUAAACUCUCGGACGUGUCCGAGCCUGAAUGUAGCAAAUGAAUAAGCACCGGCUAACUCCGUGCCAGCAGCCGCGGUAAUACGGAGGGUGCAAGCGUUAUCCGGAAUCAUUGGGUUUAAAGGGUCCGCAGGCGGACUUAUAAGUCAGUGGUGAAAUCUCACAGCUUAACUGUGAAACUGCCA